Molecule: ribosomal RNA, 450 nt
Filed under: uncultured bacterium
Lineage: Bacteria
Description: bacterial SSU rRNA
Rfam family: Bacterial small subunit ribosomal RNA
Source: RNAcentral
AACGAACGCUGGCGGCAUGCCUAACACAUGCAAGUCGAACGAGACCUUCGGGUCUAGUGGCGCACGGGUGCGUAACGUGUGGGAACCUGCCUUUAGGUUCGGAAUAACUCAGAGAAAUUUGAGCUAAUACCGGAUAAUGUCUUCGGACCAAAGAUUUAUCGCCUUUAGAUGGGCCCGCGUAAGAUUAGCUAGUUGGUGGGGUAAAGGCCUACCAAGGCGACGAUCUUUAGCUGGUCUGAGAGGAUGAUCAGCCACACUGGGACUGAGACACGGCCCAGACUCCUACGGGAGGCAGCAGUGGGGAAUAUUGGACAAUGGGCGAAAGCCUGAUCCAGCAAUGCCGCGUGAGUGAUGAAGGCCUUAGGGUUGUAAAGCUCUUUUACCCGAGAUGAUAAUGACAGUAUCGGGAGAAUAAGCUCCGGCUAACUCCGUGCCAGCAGCCGCGGUAAU